GGUUAAGCGACUAAGCGUACACGGUGGAUGCCCUGGCAGUCAGAGGCGAUGAAGGACGUGCUAAUCUGCGAAAAGCGUCGGUAAGGUGAUAUGAACCGUUAUAACCGGCGAUGUCCGAAUGGGGAAACCCAGUGUGUUUCGACACACUAUCAUUAACUGAAUCCAUAGGUUAAUGAGGCGAACCGGGGGAACUGAAACAUCUAAGUACCCCGAGGAAAAGAAAUCAACCGAGAUUCCCCCAGUAGCGGCGAGCGAACGGGGAGGAGCCCAGAGCCUGAAUCAGUGUGUGUGUUAGUGGAAGCGUCUGGAAAGGCGCGCGAUACAGGGUGACAGCCCCGUACACAAAAAUGCACAUGCUGUGAGCUCGAUGAGUAGGGCGGGACACGUGGUAUCCUGUCUGAAUAUGGGGGGACCAUCCUCCAAGGCUAAAUACUCCUGACUGACCGAUAGUGAACCAGUACCGUGAGGGAAAGGCGAAAAGAACCCCGGCGAGGGGAGUGAAAAAGAACCUGAAACCGUGUACGUACAAGCAGUGGGAGCCCUGAUUUAUCAGGGUGACUGCGUACCUUUUGUAUAAUGGGUCAGCGACUUAUAUUCUGUAGCAAGGUUAACCGAAUAGGGGAGCCGGAGGGAAACCGAGUCUUAACUGGGCGUUAAGUUGCAGGGUAUAGACCCGAAACCCGGUGAUCUAGCCAUGGGCAGGUUGAAGGUUGGGUAACACUAACUGGAGGACCGAACCGACUAAUGUUGAAAAAUUAGCGGAUGACUUGUGGCUGGGGGUGAAAGGCCAAUCAAACCGGGAGAUAGCUGGUUCUCCCCGAAAGCUAUUUAGGUAGCGCCUCGUGAAUUCAUCUCCGGGGGUAGAGCACUGUUUCGGCAAGGGGGUCAUCCCGACUUACCAACCCGAUGCAAACUGCGAAUACCGGAGAAUGUUAUCACGGGAGACACACGGCGGGUGCUAACGUCCGUCGUGAAGAGGGAAACAACCCAGACCGCCAGCUAAGGUCCCAAAGUCAUGGUUAAGUGGGAAACGAUGUGGGAAGGCCCAGACAGCCAGGAUGUUGGCUUAGAAGCAGCCAUCAUUUAAAGAAAGCGUAAUAGCUCACUGGUCGAGUCGGCCUGCGCGGAAGAUGUAACGGGGCUAAACCAUGCACCGAAGCUGCGGCAGCGACACUGUGUGUUGUUGGGUAGGGGAGCGUUCUGUAAGCCUGCGAAGGUGUGCUGUGAGGUAUGCUGGAGGUAUCAGAAGUGCGAAUGCUGACAUAAGUAACGAUAAAGCGGGUGAAAAGCCCGCUCGCCGGAAGACCAAGGGUUCCUGUCCAACGUUAAUCGGGGCAGGGUGAGUCGACCCCUAAGGCGAGGCCGAAAGGCGUAGUCGAUGGGAAACAGGUUAAUAUUCCUGUACUUGGUGUUACUGCGAAGGGGGGACGGAGAAGGCUAUGUUGGCCGGGCGACGGUUGUCCCGGUUUAAGCGUGUAGGCUGGUUUUCCAGGCAAAUCCGGAAAAUCAAGGCUGAGGCGUGAUGACGAGGCACUACGGUGCUGAAGCGACAAAUGCCCUGCUUCCAGGAAAAGCCUCUAAGCAUCAGGUAACAUCAAAUCGUACCCCAAACCGACACAGGUGGUCAGGUAGAGAAUACCAAGGCGCUUGAGAGAACUCGGGUGAAGGAAACUAGGCAAAAUGGUGCCGUAACUUCGGGAGAAGGCACGCUGAUAUGUAGGUGAAGCGACUUGCUCGUGGAGCUGAAAUCAGUCGAAGAUACCAGCUGGCUGCAACUGUUUAUUAAAAACACAGCACUGUGCAAACACGAAAGUGGACGUAUACGGUGUGACGCCUGCCCGGUGCCGGAAGGUUAAUUGAUGGGGUCAGCGCAAGCGAAGCUCUUGAUCGAAGCCCCGGUAAACGGCGGCCGUAACUAUAACGGUCCUAAGGUAGCGAAAUUCCUUGUCGGGUAAGUUCCGACCUGCACGAAUGGCGUAAUGAUGGCCAGGCUGUCUCCACCCGAGACUCAGUGAAAUUGAACUCGCUGUGAAGAUGCAGUGUACCCGCGGCAAGACGGAAAGACCCCGUGAACCUUUACUAUAGCUUGACACUGAACACUGGUCCUUGAUGUGUAGGAUAGGUGGGAGGCUUUGAAGUGUGGACGCCAGUCUGCAUGGAGCCGUCCUUGAAAUACCACCCUUUAAUGGCUGGUGUUCUAACGUGGGCCCGUAAUCCGGGUUGCGGACAGUGUCUGGUGGGUAGUUUGACUGGGGCGGUCUCCUCCUAAAGAGUAACGGAGGAGUACGAAGGUUGGCUAAUCCUGGUCGGACAUCAGGAGGUUAGUGCAAUGGCAUAAGCCAGCUUGACUGCGAGCGUGACGGCGCGAGCAGGUGCGAAAGCAGGUCAUAGUGAUCCGGUGGUUCUGAAUGGAAGGGCCAUCGCUCAACGGAUAAAAGGUACUCCGGGGAUAACAGGCUGAUACCGCCCAAGAGUUCAUAUCGACGGCGGUGUUUGGCACCUCGAUGUCGGCUCAUCACAUCCUGGGGCUGAAGUAGGUCCCAAGGGUAUGGCUGUUCGCCAUUUAAAGUGGUACGCGAGCUGGGUUUAGAACGUCGUGAGACAGUUCGGUCCCUAUCUGCCGUGGGCGCUGGAGAACUGAGGGGGGCUGCUCCUAGUACGAGAGGACCGGAGUGGACGCAUCACUGGUGUUCGGGUUGUCAUGCCAAUGGCACUGCCCGGUAGCUAAAUGCGGAAGAGAUAAGUGCUGAAAGCAUCUAAGCACGAAACUUGCCCCGAGAUGAGUUCUCCCUGAGACUUAGAGUCUCCUGAAGGAACGUUGAAGACGACGACGUUGAUAGGCCGGGUGUGUAAGCGCAGCGAUGCGUUGAGCUAACCGGUACUAAUGAACCGUGAGGCUUAACCUU
RNAcentral lists this ribosomal RNA (2906 nucleotides) under Escherichia albertii. Its description in RNAcentral is "23S ribosomal RNA". It matches the Rfam family "Bacterial large subunit ribosomal RNA". Lineage: Bacteria; Pseudomonadati; Pseudomonadota; Gammaproteobacteria; Enterobacterales; Enterobacteriaceae. The record is from RNAcentral.